AGGAGGAGGAGGAUCUGUCCGUCAGCUGCUGCCUGCUAGACCGGGCUGGUGGUGCUGCAAUUUUCUCUAUAGCAGGAGCAGAUCGAGAACUGAAUCCGGCCAGUUCUCUCCGCUCCUCUGCGGAUAGCGAACGGUCCCGGUUAGAGAAACCACAACACCCGGCCGGUGGGGGGAUCUUUCGCUUUCUAACACUCAACACAAAUUUUGCGACCAAAUAAAACAUAAUUCGUCUCCAUUAUUGUUUCAACUGUUGGCCGCAAGUUGCAGAACUCGACGUUCCAAACUACAAAGUGUGAACAGUUACAAGAAACGCAGUGCUACCGGUGUGUGUUGUUAACAAUUCGAUUGAAAAUCAUCCAUCAUCCAUCCAGGGAUCACUGCUUCACUAUUGUUCCAGGAUCAUCAAAAACUCCGGCCGAAAAAGGAAAGCUUCUAUAAACGUCACAUCCCGGACAGGAGUCAGCAAGAGAAGCAAAAACAAAAAGAAAAAGGGGGGAAGAAGCAUUAGCACGGUAUAGCCUGUAAAAAUGGAGCAGCUCGCAUCGCUUUUGUGUAAAGCGCUUUACCUCUUCGUGAUCGUCUUGGCUACUCUACCACAUCUCUCGAUGCAGGGGCCCUACGAGAAAAAAUUGCUUCAUCAUCUCCUCGACAAGUACAACGUCCUGGAACGACCCGUUUCCAACGAAUCGGAUCCCAUACAAAUCAGCUUUGGUAUCACGCUGAUGCAAAUCAUUGAUGUGGAUGAAAAGAAUCAGCUGCUCAUUACAAACAUGUGGUUGAAAAUGGACUGGAACGAUUACAAUCUGAGGUGGAAUUCAUCCGAAUUUGGUGGCGUCAAGGACCUGCGGAUCCCACCCACACGAAUUUGGAAACCCGACGUCCUAAUGUACAACAGUGCCGAUGAAGAGUUUGACAGCACCUAUCAAACAAAUGUGGUUGUUCGCAACAACGGUAGCUGCAGUUAUCUUCCUCCUGGCAUUUUCAAAAGUACCUGUAAAAUCGACAUUACGUGGUUUCCUUUCGACGAUCAAAAGUGCGAGCUCAAAUUUGGCAGCUGGACUUACGAUGGAUUUCAGUUAGAUUUGACGCUUCAGUCUGAAGAAGGCGGUGACAUUAGCAACUUCAACACCAAUGGCGAAUGGGAUCUUUUAGGAGUGCCUGGUAAACGGACGUGGCAAUACUACCCAUGCUGCCCCGAACCUUACGUGGAUAUCACCUUCAGCAUCGAGAUCCGGAGACGGACACUCUACUAUUUUUUCAACUUGAUCGUUCCCUGCGUGCUCAUUGCCUCCAUGGCCGUCCUCGGUUUUACUCUUCCUCCCGAGUCUGGCGAGAAACUUUCUCUAGGCGUUACAAUUUUGCUCUCCUUAACCGUCUUCCUAAAUAUGGUGGCCGAGACAAUGCCGGCAACGUCAGAUGCAGUUCCUUUAUUAGGAACCUAUUUCAAUUGUAUCAUGUUCAUGGUGGCCUCAUCGGUGGUUUCAACUGUGCUAAUUCUCAAUUACCACCAUCGCAAUGCUGAUACUCACGAAAUGGCCCCAUGGGUCCGAACGGUGUUCUUACACUGGCUGCCAUGCGUCUUGCGGAUGAGUAGACCGACUGACAAGGACGAUCAAAAGCCAGCAGCAGGGCCGGCGGCCAACAGUAAACACAUGAAGGACAUUGAAAUGAAAGAACGUUCAUCGCGGAGCCUUUUGGCCAACGUGCUCGAUAUCGACGACGACUUCCGACAACAUAGUUGUACGCUCAGCUCAGUCGGUAGUGGCAUGGCUCUUAGUAUGGGUGUGCCUACUGGGUUCCCAAGAGUAGUAUCCACUCCUAGUGGUGGCUUGGGAACUAACCAGGGUCAAGACGAAACCAUAUCGCUCCACAACUGUUUCGGUUCCCACCGUGAACUGUCCGGUAUCCUCAAGGAACUGCGUGUAAUCACCGAAAAGAUAAGAACCGACGAAGAAGAAUCACGUGUGUGCAAUGACUGGAAAUUUGCUGCCAUGGUCGUUGAUCGCAUUUGCCUGAUCCUCUUCACGCUCUUUACCAUCAUUGCUACUAUAGCGGUGCUUUUCUCGGCUCCGCACAUCAUAGUCCCUUAGAAGUGGACGAAGAAGAAAUGCAAAAAAAAAAGAGAAAUAAAAUAAUUCUCUUAUCUCUUCUAAAUAGCCUACGGCUCAGUCUUAGCCAUUUUCUUUAACAGGAAAAAGGCAGAAAUCUCGCCUAACCCUAAUCAAGAGGUGCUCCAUUUUCCCAGUGUGUGUUUGUUUUUGUUUUUUUUUACUAGGAACUUGGAUCAGUCUCGGACAAGUGUUCAUCCAUCUUCGUCUUCAAGGGCUUAUAGUUGGACAGGCAGCGGUCAUCCGUGGCAGCAGUAUAAGUUCCCGGAAGUUCUUUUUGUUUGUUAUUUGUAUUUAUUUUAUUUUAUUCCUUUUUUUUUGUUACUGAUGUAGAAGGAAAGUAAUGUGAAAUCGUACGAUUAUGGUGCGAUCGUUCUUUCAAAUAACAUAGAAAUAGAUUAACCAUGUAUGUAGGUUUUCCAAUUUCGCCUCAGGCUUCGUGUUCCUUCCGGUUCUGUUCUUGAUUCUCCUUGUAAAGUCCACUUCUUCGUCUGCUGUAUAUCUCUUCAUCUGUUUAUUGCUCUAUUCACGCUCCUUGAGGGUCAAUACCAUUGCCAAACUGCUCUAUCUCUUCCUCUACUAGUAGCAGCACGUUAGUCGUGUUCUAAACCCCCAGAAGAAGUUAGUAGUCUAUCAACGAAGCACUUUCGCUUUUUUCCUCGACUGUGUCCCAUGUUUUAAAAAAAAAAAUUGGUAGAAAAUUUUGAUACCACUUUUCUUGGAACGUAGGAAUGAUAACAUUGGAAAAACCCAAAUCACUGCUCUUUACCAUUUGACUCAUUCCUCCCGCCAAUGACAACGGCUCAACGAUUUUCCUUUGGAACUUUACACAUAUAUAUUACAGUAUGUUGCAAAUGUCAACUUCUCUCUCAAUCAGUGCUUCCUCGUCUCCUUCUACAUUAUCACCUUAUUUGAUUUUCAUUGUGCAUUUGUCUCUUCUUUCUUUCUUUUCUUUCUUUUUUUUUGUUUUGGUUCUUACUACGGUCCUGUUUGUUAUUUCUAUAUCCAUGACACUUGAUCAUCGAUGAUAAAACUAUCUGAGGCACUUUGUAUAGCUGUACACACGUCCAGAUGCCUACUUUUUCAUUUGUGUGUGUGUGUGUGCUGUGUGUGUGUGUACGUUAUUGGCUGCUGACGUGCAGAAAUGUUAUCGUCUCUUUCCCAUCCGCAAGAAACGUAGCCAUUUUCAAACCAGUUGUACCUCCAAAAGAUUGUACAGCAUAUGUUGACAUUGUUCUUUUUCGACUGAUUUCUCUUUUUCAUGUCGUUCUGCCAUGGAUGGAACGAAUCAGACUUCACGGUUAUUAUUGUUUACCAACCCGUUAUUAUACGUUUCGUUUUUAGACGAAUGGAUUGUGCGUGUACAAUCACGAGUAUUUUAGCCUGUAGAUCAGGCAGGUUUUAAAAUUAACACGUUACGCCAUAAAGCGAACGCCACCAUGCCAAAAAAAAAACAGUUGAUCAAUCGUUUUACAUAGUAAUAAUUAUUUUGGCAGAAGGGUAGUGUAUUUGUAAUGGAAAGUAGGAUUGUUUGUUAUAGCCACAAGCUAUAAGGCAGUAUCUUUAACAAGAAAAUAUAGAAGUAGAGGUUUUUUCUUCACCUGACUCGUUUGGUUGUCCGCGCAUCUAUUUCUAUUUUCCUUUUGGCUCUUUUUCUCGUUUCUGUUCUUUCUUCAUUCUCAUCUUCGUCCUCUAUACGCCUUGUUUUGUCUGUUAUUUCAAUCAAAUAUAAUAUGGAAUAUAUUGUACAAUAUUUUGCGAUUGCGACCCGAAGCCGAUAUGCAAAGCAUACGCAAAGAGACAAGCAAAAGAGACAAGAAUUAAAGGGAUGAUAGAGGGAAUAAUCGAGCACUUCACGUCACAAAACUGAAUGGAUGGCUCAAAAAGAAAUUGUCUUAUAUAAGUUGGAAGAGCAACUGUAUUUUGAUCCCUGUUUCAACGACUCUUCAUACUCCUGUUUCUUCUUUCUAUAAUUGGCCAAUGGCCAUCUAUGCAAAACAAAGAAAUCCAUCAGAAAGAUGAAGUAACGAUACCGGAAUGUUCACCCCGAGGAUUUCGUUUGUACGAUACACCAAACAAUUCUUGGUUAAGGAAGAAGUUUUCGGACAGAUUCGAAAAAAAAAGGUUCAGGCAGCCCAGUGAGCGAUACAUAUUAUCAUACUAACACAUUAAGCAUUUUUAAAGAAACCUAUAUUUCUUUUUCUUCAUUUAAUUUAAUUUUUAUUUUUUACCUUCUCUUUCUAAUAUCGAAUCCAUCAAAAGGAUUACCGACAUGAAAACAGCGACUAUUCUUCAGACACUUUAAGACAAUACUUUGAUGACUGUUUGAUUGCGUCUAAUAAUAAUAACCCCCUGUUGUUGCCUUUCUCUUUUAUAUGAAACCUCCUAUGUUAUUUAGUUUGAAUGGAUUUGAUGGUGUGUACGGGAAAGACAAUAAGCGCGCGUCUCAAUGAAAUUGUUGUUGACAAUACAGUCGGUAUUAGCCUAUA
Molecule: unclassified non-coding RNA, 4597 nt
Filed under: Daphnia magna
Lineage: Eukaryota; Metazoa; Arthropoda; Branchiopoda; Diplostraca; Daphniidae
Description: neuronal acetylcholine receptor subunit alpha-7, transcript variant X8
Source: RNAcentral